UCUUAUUAUCUGCCAACGACUGAAUCUGCUGUGACCCCUGGAAAGUGCCAGUAGCUGUGGAUUGAAUGAGUGAGAGAAUGAAGCAGGUCAAGAAGGCACGCUGGGAGCCAUCCGCGUAUGGCAUAUGUGGCCAGAAGAUAUUCCUGCAACACCAACUUGUUCCACGGGAGAUGACCCUGCCGGGCUUCCUUCUCUCUUGACCUGGGACAUCGAGGGGCAGGGCUGCAUCCUAAAUGUACCAGCAGUCCUAUACCACAGCCACAGCCACACCAGAUUCGAGCUGAGUCUAUGACCUACACUGCAACUCAUGGCAACGCUGGAUCCUUAACCCACUGAGUGGGGCCAGGGAUUGAACCCACAUACUAACAGAUGCUAGUCAGGUUCGUUACCGAGGAGCCAUACAGGAACUCUUCUCAUUCUUUUAAUUGGGUGGUGGGCUUAUUGAGUUGGGGUUCUUUACAUAUAUCCUGGAGUUUUUCAUCUGGCACAGGUUUUGUGAAUAUUUUCUCAUAGUUGUGCCUGUUAAGUCUCUCUCAAAGAGCAGGUGUUUCCAAUUUUGAUAAGGUCCCAUUUAUCCAUUUUUUUCUUACAUGGCUUUUUUUCUCAUGUCGGAGAAGUAUUUGCCUGCCCUCGGGUUCUGAAGUUGUUCCUGUUUUGUUUUGUUUUGUUUUUUUCCCCUGGUACUUCUUUAGGCUUAAGUUUUAUGUUCAAGUCAAUACAGGGUUUUGAGCCACAAGCUGAUAUAACCUGGGGACAUAUGUGGUGAGAGCAUCCCUGUGCUGUUUUGAGAUGAGACUGGUGGGCAGAAUGCAGCUUUGAGGAUGUUCGUGAGGCUACUGCAGGGAUCUAGGCAGGGAGCACCAGGCGGGGGGGUGGGGGGGUGGGGAGGAGCACAGAAAUUCUGGAAAUAUGAGGUUUUCAAUCGGCUUCUUCAUCUGUCCUUCAUGAAUCAUAUCCAGCUUUAAGGACAGUGACUUCCAUCCUCUAAAACCCCCUGUCCUCAUCAUCUUACACAAGGCCAAAUGUAUACACAGAAUUUGCCUUGAGCCUGAAUGUUUGCUGUGCCUUUAACUUAUGUUCACUUUUUUAAAGUAAAAAAACCUGGUUUUAAGUUUUAAUCCACAUAUUGUCAUUCUGCAGGCACAGCAGCCCCAAAGACAAGCUGCCAGUUCACCUCCACAUUCAUGAAAGGUUAAAAAAAGGAAACCAAUACAUUUCACAUCAUGCUGCAUGGCGCUUCUGCGGGGUAGGAUCCGCCAACCCACAUCUCUGCCUCGGCCACUUCAAUUCCCAUCUGAUCCUUUCUUCAGCUCAUGAUGUAUGGCUCUCAGUUCCUCCUGUUGCCAGAUUCAUAAACGUAGCUGUUCUUUCUUUAGCUACCUAUUUUGCACGCCAGGCACCACGACAGUAAAUGUAUUGUCUAUGAGUUGCUACUUUGAAAAAUGACGUCAAUGCAAAGUGAUUGCCUUUUGGCCUUGGGAGCCAAUAAAUUAAUUUUUUUUUGGU
Molecule: long non-coding RNA, 1506 nt
Filed under: Sus scrofa (pig)
Lineage: Eukaryota; Metazoa; Chordata; Mammalia; Artiodactyla; Suidae
Description: lncRNA (ENSSSCG00070029542.1)
Source: RNAcentral